This 253-nucleotide ribosomal RNA is filed under the name uncultured bacterium. RNAcentral describes it as "partial 16S ribosomal RNA". It matches the Rfam family "Bacterial small subunit ribosomal RNA", at positions 524 to 776 of the family's 1533-position model. The record is from RNAcentral.
UACAGAGGGUGCAAGCGUUAAUCGGAAUUACUGGGCGUAAAGCGCGCGUAGGCGGCUUUGUAAGUUAGAGGUGAAAGCCCGGAGCUCAACUCCGGAAUUGCCUUUAAGACUGCAUCGCUAGAAUCAUGGAGAGGUUAGUGGAAUUCCGAGUGUAGAGGUGAAAUUCGUAGAUAUUCGGAAGAACACCAGUGGCGAAGGCGACUAACUGGACAUGUAUUGACGCUGAGGUGCGAAAGCGUGGGGAGCAAACAGG